This 217-nucleotide long non-coding RNA is filed under the name Panax ginseng (ginseng). Its description in RNAcentral is "long non-coding RNA (PGIN_LNC011321)". The record is from RNAcentral. Lineage: Eukaryota; Viridiplantae; Streptophyta; Magnoliopsida; Apiales; Araliaceae.
UUCUGUCAGCACUAUACCGAAAUUCAGUCAGAAGUACGGUUAUUUUGAGGUAAGGGAUGUUGUUUCUUCUUAAAUGAUAUUAUCUUCUUCAAUAUCAUUAUGCCGAAAUAUUGUUCUGAACUUUUUAUCAAUUUGGAACUUUUUCAUGUCAGAGUUACUAUUCAUGAGUUACUAUUCAUGAGUUACUAUUCACGAGUUACUAUUCACGAGUACUAUU